Molecule: transfer RNA, 67 nt
Filed under: Marmota monax (woodchuck)
Lineage: Eukaryota; Metazoa; Chordata; Mammalia; Rodentia; Sciuridae
Description: tRNA.Ala
Rfam family: tRNA
About the family: Transfer RNA (tRNA) molecules are approximately 80 nucleotides in length.
Source: RNAcentral
GGUUGUAGCUCAGUGGAUGAGCGCUUGCCUUGCAUGCAUGAGGCACUGGGUUUGAUUCUCAGUACCA